Molecule: ribosomal RNA, 502 nt
Filed under: uncultured bacterium
Lineage: Bacteria
Description: partial 16S ribosomal RNA
Rfam family: Bacterial small subunit ribosomal RNA
Source: RNAcentral
AUUGAACGCUGGCGGCGUGCCUAACACAUGCAAGUCGAGCGGUAACAGGUGUAGCAAUACAUGCUGACGAGCGGCGAACGGGUGAGUAAUGCUUCGGAAUCUACCUUAUGGCGGGGAAUAACUAGCCGAAAGGUUAGCUAAUACCGCAUACGUCCUACGGGAGAAAGCAGGGGGUCGCAAGACCUUGCGCCAAAAGAUGGGGCGAAGUCGGAUUAGCUAGUUGGUAGGGUAACGGCCUACCAAGGCGACGAUCCGUAGCUGGUCUGAGAGGACGACCAGCCACACUGGGACUGAGACACGGCCCAGACUCCUACGGGAGGCAGCAGUGGGGAAUAUUGGACAAUGGGGGAAACCCUGAUCCAGCGACGCCGCGUGUGUGAAGAAGGCCUGCGGGUUGUAAAGCACUUUUAGUGGGGAUGAAAUGUGCAGGGUUAAUACCUCUGCAUUUUGACCUAACCCACAGAAAAAGCACCGGCUAACUACGUGCCAGCCGCCGCCGUAA